CGACCCGUCAAUGUGGCGAGCAGGACUCCGGCGCAGAGGAGUCGAGAGGAGCGCUGCAUUCAGGGAGGCUCCGACGCGCUCGUUUCUCCGCGCACGACGCCCCGGAUGGCCGCUUAACCGCCCGCGCGAUCCCUGCUUCACACGCGCGCCGCGUGACGCGACCAAGCGGAUAUUUGCGCUCACUUUUGCCGGAGUCGCAGACAGAAGCGCUACAACAUGAAAUACAAAGGCAGCGGCUGUUUGCUGAAGUGUGAAGUAGCUGCGUUGGCUCAGACGUCGGACUUGAUACAGUUGGGCUUUUGGUGUCCACUGGGCCUUGUGUCACUCCUUAGCAGGGUGCGUUUGUUUGAUAGGAGGGCGUGUGUGUGCGUCAAUGUCCGUACUCACUCAUUGUCCAGGGAGAAGCUGGGAGCAGUCGAGGGGAAAUGAUGUUUUUUUGUGGUGGGCAACGCCAGUGAGGGGAGCGGGGGAACGACCUCCACCGGGGCCCUGUGAUCACCGAUCGGUCAAGUGGAUGAGAAUGAAAGCGAUGGUAUCUGCCCGGGGGAGAUCUGUGACGUGAAAACCGCGUCUGCACCUUCUUUGUUUGCUUUGGGGCGAGAUAAAAGUGGAGAAACCACGCACGCCGCUCUUUGCUUAUGAUAAAUAUAUCUGCGUUAUGCAACGGAGCCAGAGGAAAGAGGCUAAUUGGAUGACGCGUCCUGAUUUUCCGGCGCGUCGGUGGGGAUUUUUCGCGCGUCAGAAUUUCAAACAUCCCAGUUAGAAUCUGUUAAAUAGUGCCAGAGUUCACUAUGUUCUCCCCCAUCGGGUGAAUUAUCCACAGCUAUAUUAAGCGCCCUCACAGAGCGGUAAUGUUACAACAGCGAGACGGGUGGCGCCCCCAGCCAACCCGUCUCAUGUCCUGAGAUGAGCUGUAGUGUGCAGAGGCUCCUCCUACUUUCCAACCUGUGUUCAGGUGUGAAUGAGGAGGCUUGUCUUCCACAGGUCUCCUAAUGCGUGUAAUCCCCCCCGAUGGGUGGCACACAGGCAGAUCUCUUACAGGUCACAGAGGCCCAGAGGUUUUAAAGGUAAAGUUCAACAUUUUGGGUAAAUGGGGUUGUUUUCGACAGGCUGCGAGUCGC
This is a long non-coding RNA of Gasterosteus aculeatus aculeatus (three-spined stickleback), 1121 nucleotides long. Lineage: Eukaryota; Metazoa; Chordata; Actinopteri; Perciformes; Gasterosteidae. The record is from Ensembl.